Molecule: ribosomal RNA, 235 nt
Filed under: uncultured bacterium
Lineage: Bacteria
Description: partial 16S ribosomal RNA
Rfam family: Bacterial small subunit ribosomal RNA
Source: RNAcentral
CGCACGGGUGAGUAACGCGUAUACAAUUUACCUUUUACAGGGGAAUAGCCCAGAGAAAUUUGGAUUAAUGCCCCAUGGUAUUAUCGAAUCGCAUGGUUUGAUAAUUAAAGUUUCGGCGGUAAAAGAUGAGUAUGCGUCCUAUUAGCUAGAUGGUGAGGUAACGGCUCACCAUGGCUACGAUAGGUAGGGGUCCUGAGAGGGAGAUCCCACACACUGGUACUGAGGCACGGACCAG